Molecule: long non-coding RNA, 624 nt
Organism: Xenia sp. Carnegie-2017
Lineage: Eukaryota; Metazoa; Cnidaria; Anthozoa; Malacalcyonacea; Xeniidae
Exons: 2
Source: RefSeq, a predicted model, not a curated record
AACAAUGUUUCUUUCCAAAGACAUGAUUGGCCUUGCCAUACAGAUGUUCAUUUCGUAUUAGUGCGUACUUGACGUUUAUACUUAGCUAACACAUUGAAGUUGUUAUCUACAGAUACAAACUUUCGUAAGGCGCUUAACACCUUCGAUUUGAUGAAAGAUUUCAUUCAAAGAAUACACCCAAAAAAGUAUUGUGGCAUUAAAGGUGAUGGGGCUUAAUCUUCAUUCAGUCAAUUAUGAUGCUUCCUAUUGAAUACCUAUUUCGAAAUGGAAAAUAUCAAAGUGUGGAAACUGUGAAAAACAAUGACAUCGUUGAUCGUUCAAUUUAUCCAAAUCGGAAACAUUUCAGCAAGUACUUGUUUAUUUUAAAAGGAUUUAACUGGAUGUAUUCAAUAAUAUACAUGUUUCUCCAUGAAAUAUUUGUACGUACACCUAUUUACAGAAGCCUUUAGUUUGGAAGGAUGUGACGAGUAUUAUCAUAUAUUAUCUAAUUUAUCUUUUAAAACCAAAUCUCUUGUAAGUUUGAACUAAAAAUUGUGUUGUUCUGUAAAUUUGUACGUCCAAGAAACAAACAAUAAUAAUUGUUUUGGGUAAAAAUACAAUUACAAAACUGAUGUUUACUUAGAA